CGAUUUUCUUUAAUCUUAUUUCAAGCGCUUCAACUUUUACUUUUUAUGUGCUAUAAAUAAAACUAGAACAGGUUUUAUUUCUCUGGCUUAGUUCGGUUUAACGUGUUCGUUAAUAAAUUCUUUUCUAAUAUCACCUUGUCUUCUCAUAAUGUCGUAUGUGUUCUAGUGAUUUCAAUUAGUUAUAUACAAAUAAGAAAACUUCACUAUGUAAUAAACUAUUUGUGUUGUGUUCGCCUUUGAGAUCUUAGAUAACAAUAUAAUUUUGGUUUCUAUGUCGGAAAAACAUAUUUGAAGAAAUCAUCUCACUAAAAAGCAUAAAGUCCUUUUCUUCCAGAAAAUUACUAAUUUGUAGUGUUUCAACUACCACAACAUGAUUGUACUUAAAAGAGUUAUAAAAGGACUUAGACACUUCCCUUUGGUCUCAAAUCGACCAAAGGGAACUUCGAAUGCAAUGGCAAAAUAAUAUAAAGAUGCUUUGGAGUAAGGAAUUGGCGAGGAGCUGCAACGAGUACGAGUUCUUGGAGGCAUAAAUUGAAGGAGAAUCUUAAACAAUGAUCAGAGAUAACAGAAAAACAUAGCGAAAUGAUAACAUGGACAUAAUACAUAUAAGAUGGGAACAUUAAACUUAGCAUAUUAGUUGUAUUACAAUCUGGAUAGCAAAAAUAUACACACACUGUCGGUACUUUCUACUAUACAAGAAAGCACCUGUAUAAAAAAUGACGCAAUCCAAACUGUAGGAUUUUUAGGUAUAUUUAAAUUUAUUCAUCCAGAUGUGAGGUUAGAAGUGGUGUUGCUGAAUUUUGUUUAUGGUUAUUAGGUGUGAUUUGUGACAAUUUUCAAACAUUUCUUAUUUUUAUCCAGAAAAAAGUUACAUUUUGUGUUUUGUAUGUAAAAGUACCGUCAGGAUAAUAACAGGUGCAAUAUUGACAUUGAUGUAAACAUGAGCAAAGCGAAUACAGAUACGUUUUGGUACUUGAACAAAGCUUUGACUGAUGAAGAACUUUUGGUUGAGACUGAAAAAGUUUUUGUUGAAUUAGAAAAUGAAGAAGUUGAUAUUGUUAUUACUAGCGUUAGUGAUGUACUUAUGCUGGAAGAUAAAGAAGUAGAACUAACUAAUCAAAAUGGGGAAAAUGACACUGAAGUAGUAGAAAUACGUGGCAAAGGGCCCAAGAAGAAGAACAAGACAGAAAUUGAUAGAAAAUGGAGAAAACGGGAAAAACAGACUGAAAUUCCGAGAUACAAUUAUCCAGAGGGAAUAAUUAAUUUAAUAAUUAAUAAUUAAUUUUAAGUAAUUUGGACGCCACCUAAAAGAAUAAAACGCUAAACUUGAAAGAAGAAAAGUUGCUGCACAGUUGGCCAAGUUGUAAACUCUUCUGGAGUAAUGCUGAAGACUUGGGUGUACCACUUGUCAUACGAACAAUGAGCCAUAACAGGUUUCAGGAGAAUUUAUCAUAUCUGCAUGUCAACAAUAACAGCAUUAUUCCUGAGAACAAUAUGGAUAAACUAUACAAAAUCCGUCCGCAUUUUGAAGCACUUAACCGUUAGUUCUCCAGUUAUUAUCAUGGCACUAGGCAGUUGGCUGUUGAUGAAUCAUGAUAUUCUUCAAAGGGAGGUCACGAAUAAAACAAUUCAAUCGCAUGAAGGAGCCCAUAAAAAGGGGUUAUAAGCCUCGGGUGUUUAGCAGAUAAAUAAUAGAGUAGAGUAAAAAUAGAAUGAUUUAGUUCGAUAAUUUUUUUUACAAGUAUCCGUCUUUUAGAAAAACUGAAAAUUAAGGGAACCUUAACUUGUGGAACAAUAAGGUCUCACAAAAAAGAUGAAAAAAAAUUUGGUAGAUGAUAAACCAAUGAAAAGAGGAGAUUAUGAUUACUGGAUCUCAAAUUUAGAUAUAAGUUAUUACAAAUGGAGGGACAAUAAGUGUGUGAAAUUUUGCUCUAAUUUUCAUGGAACAGAAGAGACCAGUAAAAAGGAUGCAAAAGAAUGGAACGAAAAUUGAUGUGCGCUGUCUUUCAGUUAUUGAUGAUUACAACUUCGACAAGUGUAUGCAAUCGACCACUGUUCCAAGAAGUGGUAGCACAGGCUUUGCUUAGAUUUUACAGAUAUAUGCUUCAUCAAUUCUUUUGUCAUAUAUUCCAAAUGUGAAGAGGAAAGGAUGACGCUAUUAGAUUUUCGUUGUUCUGUAGCUACAGAUCUGAGAAAUAAAUACACAAAUUUACUGCGUCCACGAAAAUGUUGUAGCGCAAGUUCACCAGUCCAGUUACCCAAAAGACGAAAGUACAGCUAUUCUGUUACUGACGACGUAAGACUUGGGAACCGUGGUUCGCACUGGAUUACUUUUGGAAAAGAAAGAGGAAGUUGUGAAAAUUAUUCUGCCAAAGCUAUUCAGUCAAGACCCCACUCAAAAUGUACUGUAUGCAAUGUUUAUUUAUGAUGAA
Non-coding RNA from Onthophagus taurus, 2432 nucleotides. The record is from RefSeq and is a predicted model, not a curated record. NCBI's taxonomy places the organism in Eukaryota, Metazoa, Arthropoda, Insecta, Coleoptera, Scarabaeidae.